RNAcentral lists this ribosomal RNA (2902 nucleotides) under Escherichia coli UMEA 3022-1. Its description in RNAcentral is "bacterial LSU rRNA". It matches the Rfam family "Bacterial large subunit ribosomal RNA". The record is from RNAcentral. RNAcentral also lists the same sequence under 1 other name. Lineage: Bacteria; Pseudomonadati; Pseudomonadota; Gammaproteobacteria; Enterobacterales; Enterobacteriaceae.
UUAAGCGACUAAGCGUACACGGUGGAUGCCCUGGCAGUCAGAGGCGAUGAAGGACGUGCUAAUCUGCGAUAAGCGUCGGUGAGGUGAUAUGAACCGUUAUAACCGGCGAUUUCCGAAUGGGGAAACCCAGUGUGAUUCGACACACUAUCAUUAACUGAAUCCAUAGGUUAAUGAGGCGAACCGGGGGAACUGAAACAUCUAAGUACCCCGAGGAAAAGAAAUCAACCGAGAUUCCCCCAGUAGCGGCGAGCGAACGGGGAGGAGCCCAGAGCCUGAAUCAGUGUGUGUGUUAGUGGAAGCGUCUGGAAAGGCGCGCGAUACAGGGUGACAGCCCCGUACACAAAAAUGCACAUGCUGUGAGCUCGAUGAGUAGGGCGGGACACGUGGUAUCCUGUCUGAAUAUGGGGGGACCAUCCUCCAAGGCUAAAUACUCCUGACUGACCGAUAGUGAACCAGUACCGUGAGGGAAAGGCGAAAAGAACCCCGGCGAGGGGAGUGAAAAAGAACCUGAAACCGUGUACGUACAAGCAGUGGGAGCCUCUUAAUGGGGUGACUGCGUACCUUUUGUAUAAUGGGUCAGCGACUUAUAUUCUGUAGCAAGGUUAACCGAAUAGGGGAGCCGAAGGGAAACCGAGUCUUAACUGGGCGUUAAGUUGCAGGGUAUAGACCCGAAACCCGGUGAUCUAGCCAUGGGCAGGUUGAAGGUUGGGUAACACUAACUGGAGGACCGAACCGACUAAUGUUGAAAAAUUAGCGGAUGACUUGUGGCUGGGGGUGAAAGGCCAAUCAAACCGGGAGAUAGCUGGUUCUCCCCGAAAGCUAUUUAGGUAGCGCCUCGUGAAUUCAUCUCCGGGGGUAGAGCACUGUUUCGGCAAGGGGGUCAUCCCGACUUACCAACCCGAUGCAAACUGCGAAUACCGGAGAAUGUUAUCACGGGAGACACACGGCGGGUGCUAACGUCCGUCGUGAAGAGGGAAACAACCCAGACCGCCAGCUAAGGUCCCAAAGUCAUGGUUAAGUGGGAAACGAUGUGGGAAGGCCCAGACAGCCAGGAUGUUGGCUUAGAAGCAGCCAUCAUUUAAAGAAAGCGUAAUAGCUCACUGGUCGAGUCGGCCUGCGCGGAAGAUGUAACGGGGCUAAACCAUGCACCGAAGCUGCGGCAGCGACACUAUGUGUUGUUGGGUAGGGGAGCGUUCUGUAAGCCUGUGAAGGUGGCCUGUGAGGGUUGCUGGAGGUAUCAGAAGUGCGAAUGCUGACAUAAGUAACGAUAAAGCGGGUGAAAAGCCCGCUCGCCGGAAGACCAAGGGUUCCUGUCCAACGUUAAUCGGGGCAGGGUGAGUCGACCCCUAAGGCGAGGCCGAAAGGCGUAGUCGAUGGGAAACAGGUUAAUAUUCCUGUACUUGGUGUUACUGCGAAGGGGGGACGGAGAAGGCUAUGUUGGCCGGGCGACGGUUGUCCCGGUUUAAGCGUGUAGGCUGGUUUUCCAGGCAAAUCCGGAAAACCAAGGCUGAGGCGUGAUGACGAGGCACUACGGUGCUGAAGUGACAAAUGCCCUGCUUCCAGGAAAAGCCUCUAAGCAUCAGGUAACAUCAAAUCGUACCCCAAACCGACACAGGUGGUCAGGUAGAGAAUACCAAGGCGCUUGAGAGAACUCGGGUGAAGGAACUAGGCAAAAUGGUGCCGUAACUUCGGGAGAAGGCACGCUGAUAUGUAGGUGAAGCGACUUGCUCGUGGAGCUGAAAUCAGUCGAAGAUACCAGCUGGCUGCAACUGUUUAUUAAAAACACAGCACUGUGCAAACACGAAAGUGGACGUAUACGGUGUGACGCCUGCCCGGUGCCGGAAGGUUAAUUGAUGGGGUUAGCGGUAACGCGAAGCUCUUGAUCGAAGCCCCGGUAAACGGCGGCCGUAACUAUAACGGUCCUAAGGUAGCGAAAUUCCUUGUCGGGUAAGUUCCGACCUGCACGAAUGGCGUAAUGAUGGCCAGGCUGUCUCCACCCGAGACUCAGUGAAAUUGAACUCGCUGUGAAGAUGCAGUGUACCCGCGGCAAGACGGAAAGACCCCGUGAACCUUUACUAUAGCUUGACACUGAACAUUGAGCCUUGAUGUGUAGGAUAGGUGGGAGGCUUUGAAGUGUGGACGCCAGUCUGCAUGGAGCCGACCUUGAAAUACCACCCUUUAAUGUUUGAUGUUCUAACGUUGGCCCCUAAUCGGGGUUGCGGACAGUGUCUGGUGGGUAGUUUGACUGGGGCGGUCUCCUCCUAAAGAGUAACGGAGGAGCACGAAGGUUGGCUAAUCCUGGUCGGACAUCAGGAGGUUAGUGCAAUGGCAUAAGCCAGCUUGACUGCGAGCGUGACGGCGCGAGCAGGUGCGAAAGCAGGUCAUAGUGAUCCGGUGGUUCUGAAUGGAAGGGCCAUCGCUCAACGGAUAAAAGGUACUCCGGGGAUAACAGGCUGAUACCGCCCAAGAGUUCAUAUCGACGGCGGUGUUUGGCACCUCGAUGUCGGCUCAUCACAUCCUGGGGCUGAAGUAGGUCCCAAGGGUAUGGCUGUUCGCCAUUUAAAGUGGUACGCGAGCUGGGUUUAGAACGUCGUGAGACAGUUCGGUCCCUAUCUGCCGUGGGCGCUGGAGAACUGAGGGGGGCUGCUCCUAGUACGAGAGGACCGGAGUGGACGCAUCACUGGUGUUCGGGUUGUCAUGCCAAUGGCACUGCCCGGUAGCUAAAUGCGGAAGAGAUAAGUGCUGAAAGCAUCUAAGCACGAAACUUGCCCCGAGAUGAGUUCUCCCUGAGACUUAGAGUCUCCUGAAGGAACGUUGAAGACGACGACGUUGAUAGGCCGGGUGUGUAAGCGCAGCGAUGCGUUGAGCUAACCGGUACUAAUGAACCGUGAGGCUUAACCUU